UACGUAGGGUGCGAGCGUUAAUCGGAAUUACUGGGCGUAAAGUGUGCGCAGGCGGCUUCGCAAGUCGAGUGUGAAAUCCCCGAGCUUAACUUGGGAAUUGCGCUCGAAACUACGUGGCUUGAGUGUGGCAGAGGAAGGUGGAAUUCCACGUGUAGCGGUGAAAUGCGUAGAGAUGUGGAGGAACACCGAUGGCGAAGGCAGCCUUCUGGGCCAACACUGACGCUCAUGCACGAAAGCGUGGGGAGCAAACAGG
RNAcentral lists this ribosomal RNA (253 nucleotides) under uncultured bacterium. RNAcentral's name for it is "partial 16S ribosomal RNA". It matches the Rfam family "Bacterial small subunit ribosomal RNA", at positions 524 to 776 of the family's 1533-position model. The record is from RNAcentral.